GUCUGGGAAACUGCCUGAUGGAGGGGGAUAACUACUGGAAACGGUAGCUAAUACCGCAUAACGUCGCAAGACCAAAGAGGGGGACCUUCGGGCCUCUUGCCAUCGGAUGUGCCCAGAUGGGAUUAGCUAGUAGGUGGGGUAACGGCUCACCUAGGCGACGAUCCCUAGCUGGUCUGAGAGGAUGACCAGCCACACUGGAACUGAGACACGGUCCAGACUCCUACGGGAGGCAGCAGUGGGGAAUAUUGCACAAUGGGCGCAAGCCUGAUGCAGCCAUGCCGCGUGUAUGAAGAAGGCCUUCGGGUUGUAAAGUACUUUCAGCGGGGAGGAAGGCGACAGGGUUAAUAACCCUGUCGAUUGACGUUACCCGCAGAAGAAGCACCGGCUAACUCCGUGCCAGCAGCCGCGGUAAUACGGAGGGUGCAAGCGUUAAUCGGAAUUACUGGGCGUAAAGCGCACGCAGGCGGUCUGUCAAGUCGGAUGUGAAAUCCCCGGGCUCA
This 500-nucleotide ribosomal RNA is filed under the name Enterobacter sp. ZXM009. RNAcentral's name for it is "bacterial SSU rRNA". It matches the Rfam family "Bacterial small subunit ribosomal RNA", at positions 115 to 611 of the family's 1533-position model. The record is from RNAcentral. Lineage: Bacteria; Pseudomonadati; Pseudomonadota; Gammaproteobacteria; Enterobacterales; Enterobacteriaceae.